GGUUUCAUAGUUCAACGGAUAGAACGACAGUUUCCUAAACUGUAAAUCCGGGUUCGAUUCCCGGUGAGACUA
Molecule: non-coding RNA, 72 nt
Organism: Bacteroidetes bacterium GWF2_42_66
Lineage: Bacteria; Pseudomonadati; Bacteroidota
Source: Rfam